RNAcentral lists this unclassified non-coding RNA (402 nucleotides) under Hevea brasiliensis (rubber tree). The record is from RNAcentral. Lineage: Eukaryota; Viridiplantae; Streptophyta; Magnoliopsida; Malpighiales; Euphorbiaceae.
GGGAGAUGCACUAUUCAGGGCUGGAUAUUGAAGUAAAAAGAUCUGAAAUGGAGGACCAUCAGGUGACCAAAAAUGAAAGAAACAGACCAAGAACAGCAACGGCUACCAACUCUGCCAGUGCCGCAGCCAGAUCAAGAACAUGGCAACCCUCGCUUCAAAGCAUCUCAGAGGCUGGCAGCUAAUCAUGUUUCCAUCUUCCCGCCAUGCUUACAUGAGGAACGGAUCAGCUCACCUGCACACAAAUCCAGACCUUUAUUUUGAACCUGCCAAAUUUAAUAUGCACAGAUCUUCCAUGUCACUACCUUUAUGGCAGAGGGAACUCAAUCUGGUCCUUUAUUUGUGUAUUUCGGUAAUUCAAAGUUGUAUAGCAAAAGGGUUCUCUCUGCCAUAAAGGUAGUGACA